GUAGGUGAACCUGCGGAAGGAUCAUUACAUUUUCCACCUCUUGUGGGUGGUCGGGGGGUUUGCGGUCUCUGCAGCCCCUGUCUGAACCCGUGUCUUUUGCGUACUACCUGUUUCCUUGGUGGGCUUGCCUGCCAAAUGGACAAUUUCACAACCUUUGCAGUUGCAAUCAGCGUCUGAAUAAACACAAUAAUUACAACUUUCAACAACGGAUCUCUUGGUUCUG
This 223-nucleotide unclassified non-coding RNA is filed under the name rhizosphere metagenome. RNAcentral's name for it is "partial ribosomal RNA internal transcribed spacer region". The record is from RNAcentral.